This 237-nucleotide ribosomal RNA is filed under the name uncultured bacterium. RNAcentral describes it as "partial 16S ribosomal RNA". It matches the Rfam family "Bacterial small subunit ribosomal RNA", at positions 524 to 760 of the family's 1533-position model. The record is from RNAcentral.
UACGUAGGGUGCGAGCGUUGUCCGGAAUUAUUGGGCGUAAAGGGCUCGUAGGCGGUCUGUUGCGUCAGGAGUGAAAACUCGGGGCUUAACCCCGAGCCUGCUUCUGAUACGGGCAGACUAGAGGUAUGCAGGGGAGAACGGAAUUCCUGGUGUAGCGGUGAAAUGCGCAGAUAUCAGGAGGAACACCGGUGGCGAAGGCGGAAUCCUGGACCGACACUGACGCUGAGGAGCGAAAGC